UGGCGGCAUGUGUUCUUUUGUCAGAAGCGACGGUGUUUGUCUGCAAGUUUGUUUGUUCAGUGUCAAUUUUCAGUGUACGUGUCGUUCUGCUAGCAUGGGGGAUAGUGAAUUUUGCAGGUUGAUUUUGUUAGGCUCAAUCACUGAACAUGUGUGUAUGCUGAUUAGUGAUUUCUGUGAUAUUUGGUCUCAGCCAAGUUACCAGUGCAGAUUUUUAACAUGUCAGCAGAAUCUUACUUCUAUUUAACAUUCUAAUCAAGUUUUAUACUCCCUCCUAUCCAAAUUAAUUAUCGCAGCUCUAGUACUACUUAUCUUGAUCGGAGGGAGUAAUAUUUUUUCCUGUUUUCCUAUCUGGUCGUACGGAGGCCCAUUGACAUUGUCGAAUCACUUGCAUCAGGAUUGCCUGUUGAUAGAUGGGGGAGCUGCAACUUCGAAAAUCAGCUGGCCAGUUCCAUGCUCCAGCACCGGUUCUUCUGUACAAGGAAUGACCAAAGUUCAGGUGAAACUCACCUAUUUUGGGACUUCCCUCUCCGUUGGUGAUCAAACUAAAUGCCUGAAUUGCUGAUUGCAAUCAUGAGUCAUGAAGAAUGGAGUACUGUUGAGGCAGCAGUUUAGCUAUAAUAGAGUACUUUUUUGUGAUGUGUUAUGACAUAGUUAAAUUGUCGUGAAUAUUCAUUUUGUUCAGUCAUUUAAGUAUCUUCUUUUGCAUUCACUCCCCCAGUCUUCAUUUUCAAUUUUGAGAUCAGUAAUUCAGUCUUUUGUUCUUUAGUCCUUGUGUAUGCAUCACUUUUCAGUGCAUCAUUCUGGAUAGUUUACCUCUGUUGCAGUUUCCAAACCUUCACCUACCAUUGUCUAUGACCUACCAAAACUGCAAGUCCUGUCAAGUCCAUUAUUUUUGUAUCAUGUUUGGUCCGUCAUUUUUGUGAUCAGUCUUUCAGUCUUUCAGUCCUUUCAUUUUUGCUUCACUUUUCAGUGUAGUUCUUCAUUUCUCCUUUUGUACUAGUAAGUUAUAAUUCCUUAGUUCUGAUUUAUUGAAAAAACAAUCUUUUGUGUAAUUAUACGGUCCUCAGUAUCUCGGUUAAAUUAGUCCCCCUUAUUUCUACAUCUUGCUCAUUUUAUUCAGUUCAUUGGCUAGUUUCACUUAGUUUAAUCAUGUCAAUGUCGUGCAUCCUUCGCUCACUCAGUAAACAGCAAUUAGGCCUGCAUCCUUGCUCUUCUUGGGAGAAGUUCUAUUUUUGUUUUUUCAACAAUGCACGAUGUAAUUUUGUAUUUAUAUUCUGGAAUGCACAUUUCUUUUAUCAUUGGGGCUGGCAGAUGUUGAUGCACUCGAGGAGGCUGUAGUAUCAGUUGUUUUACACAUGCUGUAG
Molecule: long non-coding RNA, 1364 nt
Filed under: Triticum aestivum (bread wheat)
Lineage: Eukaryota; Viridiplantae; Streptophyta; Magnoliopsida; Poales; Poaceae
Description: long non-coding RNA (TAES_LNC020278)
Source: RNAcentral